GGAUCAAUUUAUUGGUCGUGCCAUUGUACGUACUGGUAUUAUUGAUUCCUACCUUCUGACGAACCAUGAUGUCAUUAAUUUGGUGUCAUGGGGAAUCAGGACUGUUACUUUGAAAAAAUUAGAGUGUUUAAAGCAGGCUCACGCUUGAAUACAUUAGCAUGGAAUAACGAAAUAGGACGUUUGAUUCUAUUUUGUUGGUUUCUAGGAUCGACGUA
RNAcentral lists this ribosomal RNA (215 nucleotides) under uncultured Glomus. Its description in RNAcentral is "partial 18S ribosomal RNA". The stretch from base 37 to 215 matches the Rfam family "Eukaryotic small subunit ribosomal RNA", at positions 684 to 864 of the family's 1831-position model. Lineage: Eukaryota; Fungi; Glomeromycota; Glomeromycetes; Glomerales; Glomeraceae. The record is from RNAcentral.